AGUGAACGCUGGCGGUAGGCCUAACACAUGCAAGUCGAACGGCAGCACAGUAAGAGCUUGCUCCUACGGUUGGCGAGUGACGGACGGGUGAGGCAUACAUCGGAAUCUACUUUUUCUUGGGGGAUAACGGAGGGACACUUACGCUAAUACCGCAUACGUCCUACGGGUGAAAGCAGUGGUUCUUCGGACCUUGCCUGACUGAUUGAGCCGGCGUCGGAUUAGCUAGUUGGCAAGGUAACGGCCCACCAAGGCAACGAUCCGUAGCUGACCUGAGAGGAUGAUCGGCCACAGUGGAACUGAGACACGGUCAAGACUCCUACGGGAGGCAGCAGUAGGGAAUCUGCCGCAAUGGGCGAAAGCUUGACGGAGCAACGCCGCGUGAGUGAUGAAGGUCUUCGGAUCGUAAAACUCUGUUAUUAGGGAAGAACAAAUGUGUAAGUAACUAUGCACGUCUUGACGGUACCUAAUCAGAAAGCCACGGCUAACUACGUG
RNAcentral lists this ribosomal RNA (492 nucleotides) under uncultured bacterium. RNAcentral's name for it is "partial 16S ribosomal RNA". It matches the Rfam family "Bacterial small subunit ribosomal RNA", at positions 29 to 507 of the family's 1533-position model. The record is from RNAcentral.